Molecule: ribosomal RNA, 253 nt
Filed under: uncultured bacterium
Lineage: Bacteria
Description: partial 16S ribosomal RNA
Rfam family: Bacterial small subunit ribosomal RNA
Source: RNAcentral
UACAGAGGGUGCAAGCGUUGUUCGGAAUUACUGGGCGUAAAGCGCGUGUAGGCGGCGAUAUCAGUCGGAUGUGAAAUCCCUCGGCUUAACCGAGGAAGUGCAUCCGAUACUGUAUGGCUUGAGUGCCGGAGGGGAUGGCGGAAUUCCUGGUGUAGAGGUGAAAUUCGUAGAUAUCAGGAGGAACACCUGUGGCGAAGGCGGCCAUCUGGACGGUAACUGACGCUGAGACGCGAAAGCGUGUGUAGCAAACAGG